GGGGUGCUCGAGUGGCGAACGGGUGAGUAACACGUGGGUAACCUGCCCUUGACUUUGGGAUAACUUCAGGAAACUGGGGCUAAUACCGGAUAGGAGCUCCUGCUGCAUGGUGGGGGUUGGAAAGUUUCGGCGGUUGGGGAUGGACUCGCGGCUUAUCAGCUUGUUGGUGGGGUAGUGGCUUACCAAGGCUUUGACGGGUAGCCGGCCUGAGAGGGUGACCGGCCACAUUGGGACUGAGAUACGGCCCAG
RNAcentral lists this ribosomal RNA (249 nucleotides) under uncultured Actinomycetales bacterium. RNAcentral's name for it is "partial 16S ribosomal RNA". It matches the Rfam family "Bacterial small subunit ribosomal RNA", at positions 84 to 334 of the family's 1533-position model. The record is from RNAcentral. Lineage: Bacteria; Bacillati; Actinomycetota; Actinomycetes; Actinomycetales.